ACAGAAGCCUCGGCGGAAGAUUACUAAUGAGAGUGGCGAACGGGUGAGUAACGCGUGAGCAACCUGCCUAUGACAGUGGGAUAGCCUCGGGAAACCGGGAUUAAUACCGCAUAAAAUCGUAGAAACACAUGUUUUAACGGUCAAAGAUUUAUCGGUCAUAGAUGGGCUCGCGUCUGAUUAGCUAGUUGGUGAGAUAACAGCCCACCAAGGCGACGAUCAGUAGCCGGUCUGAGAGGAUGAACGGCCACAUUGGAACUGAGACACGGUCCAAACUCCUACGGGAGGCAGCAGUGGGGAAUAUUGCACAAUGGGGGAAACCCUGAUGCAGCGACGCCGCGUGAUUUAGAAGGCCUUCGGGUUGUAAAAAUCUUUUCUAUGGGAAGAAAAUGACAGUACCAUAGGAAUAAGGACCGGCUAAUUACGUGCCAGCAGCCGCGGUAAUACGUAAGGUCCGAGCGUUGUCCGGAAUCAUUGGGCGUAAAGGGUACGUAGGCGGGUAAGCAAGUUAGAAGUGAAAUCCUAUAGCUCAACUAUAGUAAGCUUUUAAAACUGCUCAUCUUGAGGUAUGGAAGGGAAAGUGGAAUUCCUAGUGUAGCGGUGAAAUGCGCAGAUAUUAGGAGGAAUACCGGUGGCGAAGGCGACUUUCUGGCCAUAACCUGACGCUGAGGUACGAAAGCGUGGGUAGCAAACAGGAUUAGAUACCCUGGUAGUCCACGCCGUAAACGAUGAGUGUUAGGUGCCUGGAGUAAAUCUGGGUGCCGCAGCUAACGCAUUAAACACUCCGCCUGGGGAGUACGCGCGCAAGCGUG
RNAcentral lists this ribosomal RNA (809 nucleotides) under uncultured Clostridia bacterium. RNAcentral describes it as "bacterial SSU rRNA". It matches the Rfam family "Bacterial small subunit ribosomal RNA", at positions 69 to 896 of the family's 1533-position model. Lineage: Bacteria; Bacillati; Bacillota; Clostridia. The record is from RNAcentral.